Culex pipiens (northern house mosquito) is the source of this 44-nucleotide non-coding RNA. NCBI's taxonomy places the organism in Eukaryota, Metazoa, Arthropoda, Insecta, Diptera, Culicidae. The record is from Rfam.
AAAUAGGCUCUUCAGAGCCACAUUAUAAAAACCGCAAAAUUUUU